UGAGCACUUUCACAGGUCCUCCCUCAGGGUGUGGGGCCAGGAUUUGGUAGCUGGUGCUAAGAGAAAACCUUUGAUGGCGUCCUUGCCCUGGGACUGUGCCAGUGGCAGCUGUCAUUCAAUGGGACAAUU
Molecule: small nucleolar RNA, 129 nt
Organism: Cercocebus atys (sooty mangabey)
Lineage: Eukaryota; Metazoa; Chordata; Mammalia; Primates; Cercopithecidae
Source: Ensembl